GCCGCCUGUCCGCCCCAGUGGUGAGUACGUGGCGCGCAUUUGGCCCUUUCAGGGGAGCGUAUCUGCACUUCAUUGUGUGGUGCGGGAUCCUUGACUUUUACUUUGAGGAAAUAGGAGUGUUCCGAGCAGGCUCUCGUCGUGCACAGCUCAACAUGGAAUAAUAGCAUUGGACCUCGAUUCUAAGCUGUUGGUUGCCAGAAGCGAGGUAAUGAUGAAGAGGGAUAGUUGGGGGCAUUCAUAUUUAACUGUCAAAGGUGAAAUUCUUGGAUUUGUUAAAGACGGACUACUGCGAAGGCAUCUGCCAUGGAUGUUUUCAUUGAUCAAGAACGAAAGUUAGGGGAUCGAAGAC
This 349-nucleotide ribosomal RNA is filed under the name uncultured eukaryote. Its description in RNAcentral is "SSU rRNA". It matches the Rfam family "Eukaryotic small subunit ribosomal RNA", at positions 655 to 1005 of the family's 1831-position model. The record is from RNAcentral.